This 598-nucleotide long non-coding RNA is filed under the name Cricetulus griseus (Chinese hamster). RNAcentral's name for it is "lncRNA (ENSCGRG00015032894.1)". The record is from RNAcentral. Lineage: Eukaryota; Metazoa; Chordata; Mammalia; Rodentia; Cricetidae.
GGCCGGGUUCUGAAGCUGUCAGGAAGUAAGGGCUGCCGGGUUCUGAAGCCGACAGGACGUCAGGGCAUUGGGACUGGGAAGCCAACAGGAAGUGUGGGCGUCCAGUUUCUGAAUCUAACAGGAAGUGAGGGUGGUCGGGUUCAGAAGCCCAAAGGAAGUGAGGGCAGCCAGGUUGUGAAACGAACAGGAAGUAUGGGCAUCCAGGUUGUGAAUCCAACAGGAAGUGACGACGGCCGGGUUCUGAAGCUGACAGGAACUAACGGCUGCCGGGUUCUGGAGCCGACGGGAAGUGAGGGCGGCCAGGUUGUGAAACGAACAGGAAGUAUGGGCAUCCAGGUUGUUAAUCCAACAGGAAGUGAGGACGGCCGGGUUCUGGAGCUGACAGGAAGUAAGGGCACGUGGACUGGGACGCCAACUGGAAUUGAGGGCAUUCCAAUCGUGACACUAAUGGGAAGUGAGGCGGGUGGCUUUGUAACUCAACGGGAAGUGAGGGCAUAGGGACCCUGAAACCGACAGGAAGUGAGGGCAUAGGAACCCUGAAGCUAACGGGAAGUGAGGGCGGAAGUCAAGAUCACCAGAGAGAGAGAGAGAGAGAGAG